CGGUCCAGACUCCUACGGGAGGCAGCAGUAGGGAAUCUUCCGCAAUGGGCGAAAGCCUGACGGAGCAACGCCGCGUGAGUGAUGAAGGGUUUCGGCUCGUAAAACUCUGUUAUUAGGGAAGAACAAAUGUGUAAGUAACUGUGCACAUCUUGACGGUACCUAAUCAGAAAGCCACGGCUAA
Molecule: ribosomal RNA, 181 nt
Filed under: Staphylococcus xylosus
Lineage: Bacteria; Bacillati; Bacillota; Bacilli; Caryophanales; Staphylococcaceae
Description: partial 16S ribosomal RNA
Rfam family: Bacterial small subunit ribosomal RNA
Source: RNAcentral